UUUUGGUUGUCUCUCGUAAGAGUGACACUGCACACGAAACCGCGUUGGUUGAUUUUACUCUGAAUAAUUUGGGUUGCAGAAAGGCGGCAGGCAAGCGCACAGGCAAUCUGAAUGGGGACAGGGCUGCCCAGGUCGGUUUCGUGUGCUGCAUUUUUGACGCAUUCAUUUAUUGGUAACGCAUGAACCCCAUCGUAAUUAAUCGGCUUCAACGGAAGCUGGGCUACACUUUUCAUC
RNAcentral lists this small RNA (234 nucleotides) under Klebsiella ornithinolytica. RNAcentral's name for it is "rncO". It matches the Rfam family "rncO". Rfam says of the family: This family represents a bacterial regulatory element (rncO) found in the rnc leader sequence. The rnc operon is negatively auto-regulated by transcript stability. rnc, the first gene in the operon codes for RNase III which cleaves the long rncO stem II leading to transcript degradation and a reduction in translation. The record is from RNAcentral. Lineage: Bacteria; Pseudomonadati; Pseudomonadota; Gammaproteobacteria; Enterobacterales; Enterobacteriaceae.